UAGGAGCAGAGGGCCAGAGUGGGCAUAGAAAUAUUUUCUUCCAAGAUCACAAGGGAUGGCAGUUGAGCCACAUCCCUGACUUGGCCAGUCAGGCUAGGUCACUCAAUGAUGUUAAAUUGCUCAAAAAGAGAAGUAAUGGCUUUUAAAUGAUGUUUCCUCUUUUGUCUUCUGCAAGGGAAGAUUCAGGGCAGCUGGUGUUGUAGCUCCAUCUACCAGGAAGCAACGAGUCAAGCUCUGCUGUCAGUCACAGAUGGUGUAAUUAAUUCUUCUAGGUAGUGUAAUUAGUCUGUCCUAUCAGCUACAUAUUUUCUCAGUCAAAAUUAUGCUAAAGCUAAUAAUACAUAAAACAGAAAACAAAAAAGCAACUCAAAAAAGGGGAAGCAAUAAUGGGAGGAGAAGGGAUUAGAACAAAAUUUACCAGUGUAUAAUUUUUUCUUGUUGUACAUUUCCUCUUCCCUUCAGCUUCAAACACAAUUCUGAACAACUGGUGAAUGUAGCAAGCAGAAUGAAUACAAAUUGGCUUACUUUAAAUAGCAGCGUGUAGGACUUAGCCAAAGUCUGCUUUCAGAUGCUGAGGCGCGAUAAGGCACAGAUCCUGCAACGAAACUCUGUGCGGGCAUUGUGUCAGGGCUGUGCUUCUGCACUGUGCCAUGCCUGAAAGUCUGGGGUAUAGGAAUGCAGCUAGAGGUGUGUGUCCACUGGUAGCCUGUGCCAUUCUUCAUCUGGGGUCUCAGAAGAGGUUCCUCUGGUGACUAGAAAACUUUCUGCAGCAACUUGCAUGAGAUUCUACCUUGGACCAUGUUUCUCUGACAACACAGUUGUCCCAAGGUGAGUGAGAAGCCUUGCACAGUGAGUACAAUGGUGUGUAAGAUAUUGGGCUCAGGAUACUGAGUUGUUGAAUGUUUCUCAGGAGAUAUGUGUAAGACAUGGCGUUCAUAGUCAGUAAAAGUAGAAUUUAAAACACUUUUCAGAUUUCUUGUGCUCUACUUUAGAGCUGAAACCAUGCAGUGACUAGUGGUGCUCAGGUUAAUUUACAUUUGCACUGUUAAAGUAGACCUGAUCAUCAAUUAGGCUGGCAUGGCAAUUUCUCUCAUUGGUACAUAAUAGAAGGCCUUUAGGAUGCUGGAUUUGUCUGCCUUUCAUGUAUCUCCAGAAGGCUGCUGUGACAACUAACCACUAGUUCUGGACCUGUCAGCCUGGCUUGGAAGGUAUUGGAGAGCAUGCAUAGUUCUCCACUGUAGCUCUCUACUCCUGCUUCUUUUAUCCAAAUGCUAAGGAUACUUCAAAUUCAUGCUCUUAAAUCUUCCUAGAGUACAGAAACAAAGGCUUGAUUUGGAGGCAGGUUAGUUUGGUACAGUAAUUGCUUGAGCUUGCCUCAGGAUCCU
This 1385-nucleotide long non-coding RNA is filed under the name Numida meleagris (helmeted guineafowl). RNAcentral describes it as "lncRNA (ENSNMEG00000011098.1)". The record is from RNAcentral. Lineage: Eukaryota; Metazoa; Chordata; Aves; Galliformes; Numididae.